RNAcentral lists this ribosomal RNA (301 nucleotides) under uncultured bacterium. RNAcentral describes it as "partial 16S ribosomal RNA". It matches the Rfam family "Bacterial small subunit ribosomal RNA", at positions 509 to 808 of the family's 1533-position model. The record is from RNAcentral.
CAGUCGCGCGGUAAUACGUAGGGUCCGAGCGUUGUCCGGAAUUACUGGGCGUAAAGCGUGCGCAGGCGGAUAUAUAAGACAGAUGUGAAAUCCCCGGGCUCAACCUGGGACCUGCAUUUGUGACUGUAUAGCUAGAGUACGGUAGAGGGGGAUGGAAUUCCGCGUGUAGCAGUGAAAUGCGUAGAUAUGCGGAGGAACACCGAUGGCGAAGGCAAUCCCCUGGACCUGUACUGACGCUCAUGCACGAAAGCGUGGGGAGCAAACAGGAUUAGAUACCCCAGUAGUCCCUGUCUCUUAUACA